This 58-nucleotide transfer RNA is filed under the name Tetragnatha riveti. RNAcentral describes it as "tRNA-Asn". The record is from RNAcentral. Lineage: Eukaryota; Metazoa; Arthropoda; Arachnida; Araneae; Tetragnathidae. RNAcentral also lists the same sequence under 1 other name.
AUUAAGAUUUUAAGCAUUUCGCAAUUUCAUUGUUACUGAAUAGAAGUUUUUUUUUUUU